Molecule: unclassified non-coding RNA, 224 nt
Filed under: Hevea brasiliensis (rubber tree)
Lineage: Eukaryota; Viridiplantae; Streptophyta; Magnoliopsida; Malpighiales; Euphorbiaceae
Source: RNAcentral
GCAAAUAUCACACUCCAGAUAUUCAUGAAUAGGCGUAAGAUGGUAUGUUAACCCAUAUUGAUUUAGGAUAAAGUAUUUAAACUAAAAUAAAAUUUGGGCAAACCUUUUCUCUUUGAGCUAGUUUUUAGGGUGGACUUAAAAACUGAUGCAUUUUCUCUAGAGUGUUGGAAAGCCGAAAUUAAAUCCCUGCAUUAUAGGGAUUAUUUUUUUUUUUUCCCUCUUUU